GGGGCUGUGGCUCAGCGGUAGAGUGCUCACCUAGCAAGUGUGAGGCCCUGAGUUUGAUCCUCAGCACCA
This 69-nucleotide transfer RNA is filed under the name Ictidomys tridecemlineatus (thirteen-lined ground squirrel). RNAcentral's name for it is "Spermophilus tridecemlineatus (thirteen-lined ground squirrel) tRNA". It matches the Rfam family "tRNA". From Rfam's summary of the family: Transfer RNA (tRNA) molecules are approximately 80 nucleotides in length. Lineage: Eukaryota; Metazoa; Chordata; Mammalia; Rodentia; Sciuridae. The record is from Rfam by way of RNAcentral.